This 449-nucleotide ribosomal RNA is filed under the name uncultured bacterium. Its description in RNAcentral is "partial 16S ribosomal RNA". It matches the Rfam family "Bacterial small subunit ribosomal RNA", at positions 29 to 523 of the family's 1533-position model. The record is from RNAcentral.
AACGAACGCUGGCGGCAUGCCUAACACAUGCAAGUCGAACGAGAUCUUCGGGUCUAGUGGCGCACGGGUGCGUAACGCGUGGGAAUCUGCCCUUUGGUUCGGAAUAACAGUUGGAAACGACUGCUAAUACCGGAUGAUGACGAAAGUCCAAAGAUUUAUCGCCAGAGGAUGAGCCCGCGUAGGAUUAGCUAGUUGGUGUGGUAACGGCGCACCAAGGCGACGAUCCUUAGCUGUUCUGAGAGGAUGAUCAGCCACACUGGGACUGAGACGCGGCCCAGACUCCUACGGGAGGCAGCAGUGGGGAAUAUUGGACAAUGGGCGAAAGCCUGAUCCAGCAAUGCCGCGUGAGUGAUGAAGGCCUUAGGGGUGUAAAGCUCUUUUACCCGGGAUGAUAAUGACAGUACCGGGAGAAUAAGCUCCGGCUAACUCCGUGCCAGCAGCCGCGGUAA